RNAcentral lists this ribosomal RNA (253 nucleotides) under uncultured bacterium. Its description in RNAcentral is "partial 16S ribosomal RNA". It matches the Rfam family "Bacterial small subunit ribosomal RNA", at positions 524 to 776 of the family's 1533-position model. The record is from RNAcentral.
GACAGAGGUGCCGAGCGUUAGGCGGAAUCACUGGGCUUAAAGCGUGUGUAGGCGGGCGGGCAAGUACCUUGUGAAAUCCCACGGCUCAACCGUGGAACGGCUGGGUAUACUGCCUGUCUUGAGCCAACUAGGGGCGAGCGGAACAGACGGUGGAGCGGUGAAAUGCGUAGAGAUCGGAAAGAACACCAACGGCGAAAGCACUCUGCUGGGCCGACACUGACACUGAGAGACGAAAGCUAGGGGAGCGAAUGGG